This 148-nucleotide non-coding RNA is filed under the name Gorilla gorilla gorilla (western lowland gorilla). The record is from Rfam by way of RNAcentral. Lineage: Eukaryota; Metazoa; Chordata; Mammalia; Primates; Hominidae.
GCCAGGCAUGGUGGUGCAUGCCUGUAGUCCCAGCUACUUGGGAGGCUGAGGCAGGAGGAUCACCUGAGCCCAGGAAGUCAAGGUUGCAGUGAGCUAUGAUCAUGCCACUGCACUCCAGCCUGAGCAACAGCAUGCUAUCCUGUCUCAA